AACGGGUGAGUAACGCGUGAGGAACCUGCCUCAAAGAGGGGGACAACAGUUGGAAACGACUGCUAAUACCGCAUAAGCCCACGGCUCGGCAUCGAGCAGAGGGAAAAGGAGCAAUCCGCUUUGAGAUGGCCUCGCGUCCGAUUAGCUAGUUGGUGAGGUAAUGGCACACCAAGGCGACGAUCGGUAGCCGGACUGAGAGGUUGAACGGCCACAUUGGGACUGAGACACGGCCCAGACUCCUACGGGAGGCAGCAUG
This 256-nucleotide ribosomal RNA is filed under the name uncultured bacterium. Its description in RNAcentral is "partial 16S ribosomal RNA". It matches the Rfam family "Bacterial small subunit ribosomal RNA", at positions 101 to 353 of the family's 1533-position model. The record is from RNAcentral.